This 406-nucleotide ribosomal RNA is filed under the name uncultured bacterium. Its description in RNAcentral is "partial 16S ribosomal RNA". It matches the Rfam family "Bacterial small subunit ribosomal RNA", at positions 29 to 526 of the family's 1533-position model. The record is from RNAcentral.
AUUGAACGCUGGCGGCAGGCCUAACACAUGCAAGUCGAGCGAGCGGCGGACGGGUGAGUAAUGUCUGGGAAACUGCCUGAUGGAGGGGGGUAACUACUGGAAACGGUAGCUAAUACCCCAUACCAUCAGGUGUGCGCAGAUGGGAGGUGCUCGUAGGUGGGGUAACGGCUCACCUAGGCGAAGAUCCCCAGCUGGUCUGUGAGGAUGACCAGCCACACGGGAACUGAGACACGGUCCAGACUCCUACGGGAGGCAGCAGUGGGGAAUAUUGCACAAUGGGCGAAAGCCUGAUGCAGCCAUGCCGCGUGUGUGAAGAAGGCCUUCGGGUUGUAAAGCACUUUCAGCGGGGAGGCGUUACCCGCAGAAGAAGCACCGGCUAACUCCGUGCCAGCAGCCGCGGUAAUAC